RNAcentral lists this ribosomal RNA (276 nucleotides) under uncultured prokaryote. Its description in RNAcentral is "partial 16S ribosomal RNA". It matches the Rfam family "Bacterial small subunit ribosomal RNA", at positions 524 to 801 of the family's 1533-position model. The record is from RNAcentral.
UACGUAGGGGCUAGCGUUAUCCGGAAUUACUGGGCGUAAAGGGUGCGUAGGUGGUUUCUUAAGUCAGAGGUGAAAGGCUACGGCUCAACCGUAGUAAGCCUUUGAAACUGGGUAACUUGAGUGCAGGAGAGGAGAGUGGAAUUCCUAGUGUAGCGGUGAAAUGCGUAGAUAUUAGGAGGAACACCAGUUGCGAAGGCGGCUCUCUUGACUGUAACUGACACUGAGGCACGAAAGCGUGGGGAGCAAACAGGAUUAGAUACCCUGGUAGUCCCUGAG